UUUGAUCGAGUGUUUAUUUUGUGUUCUUUUCUGAAAGUGGUUGAUUUUAAUCUUUUGUUAACAAUCAAUUAAUGCAAUGAAAUAACUGAAGGCGAUAAACUUAUUAAACAUUACAAGAAUGGGUGUACAAUUUGAUGAAUGGGGAUACAGCAUAAUAAUUAAACAACACAAGCUUAAAAUACAAUUGAAAAAUAAAAGAAACUCGUUGUAAGAAGGUUCGAGAGAAAGCUAAGGGAGUCGAAAUAAAAAUCAGAACAUAGGGUUAUGUUAAGAAAUCG
Molecule: long non-coding RNA, 278 nt
Filed under: Lathyrus oleraceus (garden pea)
Lineage: Eukaryota; Viridiplantae; Streptophyta; Magnoliopsida; Fabales; Fabaceae
Description: Pisum sativum (pea) long non-coding RNA (PSAT_LNC008065)
Source: RNAcentral